GUGGGGAAUCUUAGACAAUGGGUGCAAGCCUGAUCUAGCCAUGCCGCGUGAGCGAUGAAGGCCUUAGGGUUGUAAAGCUCUUUCGCUGGGGAAGAUAAUGACUGUACCCAGUAAAGAAGCCCCGGCUAACUCCGUGCCAGCAGCCGCGGUAAUACGGAGGGGGCUAGCGUUAUUCGGAAUUACUGGGCGUAAAGCGCACGUAGGCGGACCAGAAAGUUGGGGGUGAAAUCCCGGGGCUCAACCUCGGAACUGCCUUCAAAACUCCUGGUCUUGAGUUCGAGAGAGGUGAGUGGAAUUCCGAGUGUAGAGGUGAAAUUCGUAGAUAUUCGGAGGAACACCAGUGGCGAAGGCGGCUCACUGGCUCGAUACUGACGCUGAGGUGCGAAAGCGUGGGGAGCAAACAGGAUUAGAAACCCCUGUAGUCC
RNAcentral lists this ribosomal RNA (425 nucleotides) under uncultured bacterium. RNAcentral describes it as "partial 16S ribosomal RNA". It matches the Rfam family "Bacterial small subunit ribosomal RNA", at positions 354 to 796 of the family's 1533-position model. The record is from RNAcentral.